Long non-coding RNA from Nycticebus coucang (slow loris), 421 nucleotides. RefSeq lists it as uncharacterized. The record is from RefSeq and is a predicted model, not a curated record. NCBI's taxonomy places the organism in Eukaryota, Metazoa, Chordata, Mammalia, Primates, Lorisidae. The transcript is spliced from 3 exons.
ACAAACUCUGCCCAUUUUCUCACCUACUUUCUCCAGCCUAUUAAGGUGGCUUCUGAUCCCAGUGGCUUCCCCUGCCCUCUCUUGGGUGAUUUCCCAGUAAGCUACGUCACUUGGUUGUUAAUCCAAAGGCACCCAUCAGCUUCUUGUUGUACUAAUUGCCUCCCAUCGUCUGCCCACACAGUCUCAGAAAGAUCAUAAGAUAAGGAACUUAACCUAAAACCUCAAGUUUCCUGAUUUUGAGCCCGUUUGGAACCUACUUGUUACCUCCGGAAGUAGCACACCUGCUGAAAAUCCCUGGUAUAUUGUGUUGUUACUCUUGCCCAGUACUUGUCACGUCAUCUUAAUUGGUUGGCUCAUUAGCCUUGUGAAGUAGAUAUUGCAAUUACUCCUGUUCUUCAGAUGAGGAAACAGAGCCUCAGAA